Molecule: ribosomal RNA, 218 nt
Filed under: uncultured bacterium
Lineage: Bacteria
Description: partial 16S ribosomal RNA
Rfam family: Bacterial small subunit ribosomal RNA
Source: RNAcentral
CGUAAGAGGCUAGUGUUAAUCAUCUUAAUUAGGUUUAAAGGGUACUCAGGCGGUAAAUUUACUUAAAAGUAAGAAUUAUACUAGAGUUAUAGGUAAGAAGGUAGUACACGAGGUGUAGAGAUAAUAUUUUGUAUACCUUGGAGACUGGUAAAUGCGAAGGCAACCUUUUAUGUAAUAACUGACGCUAAAGGACGAAGGCAUAGAGAACUAACAGGAUU